Molecule: ribosomal RNA, 468 nt
Filed under: uncultured bacterium
Lineage: Bacteria
Description: partial 16S ribosomal RNA
Rfam family: Bacterial small subunit ribosomal RNA
Source: RNAcentral
GACGAAUGCUGGCGGCGUGCUUAACACAUGCAAGUCGAACGGAAAGGCCCUGCUUUUGUGGGGUGCUCGAGUGGCGAACGGGUGAGUAACACGUGAGUAACCUGCCCUUGACUUUGGGAUAACUUCAGGAAACUGGGGCUAAUACCGGAUAGGAGCUCCUGCUGCAUGGUGGGGGUUGGAAAGUUUCGGCGGUUGGGGUUGGACUCGCGGCUUAUCAGCUUGUUGGUGGGGUAGUGGCUUACCAAGGCUUUGACGGGUAGCCGGCCUGAGAGGGUGACCGGCCACAUUGGGACUGAGAUACGGCCCAGACUCCUACGGGAGGCAGCAGUGGGGAAUAUUGCACAAUGGGCGGAAGCCUGAUGCAGCAACGCCGCGUGCGGGAUGACGGCCUUCGGGUUGUAAACCGCUUUCGCCUGUGACGAAGCGUGAGUGACGGUAAUGGGUAAAGAAGCACCGGCUAACUACGUG